Molecule: transfer RNA, 76 nt
Filed under: Gammaproteobacteria bacterium
Lineage: Bacteria; Pseudomonadati; Pseudomonadota; Gammaproteobacteria
Also listed under: 1 other name
Description: tRNA-Phe
Rfam family: tRNA
About the family: Transfer RNA (tRNA) molecules are approximately 80 nucleotides in length. Their secondary structure includes four short double-helical elements and three loops (D, anti-codon, and T loops).
Source: RNAcentral
GCCCAGUUAGCUCAGUCGGUAGAGCAGGGGAUUGAAAAUCCCCGUGUCCGUGGUUCGAUUCCGCGACUGGGCACCA